Molecule: non-coding RNA, 186 nt
Filed under: Paraliobacillus sp. PM-2
Lineage: Bacteria; Bacillati; Bacillota; Bacilli; Caryophanales; Bacillaceae
Also listed under: 1 other name
Description: Lysine riboswitch aptamer
Rfam family: Lysine riboswitch aptamer
About the family: Riboswitches are metabolite binding domains within certain messenger RNAs that serve as precision sensors for their corresponding targets. Allosteric rearrangement of mRNA structure is mediated by ligand binding, and this results in modulation of gene expression. This family includes riboswitches that sense lysine in a number of genes involved in lysine metabolism, including lysC.
Source: Rfam by way of RNAcentral
AGUGAGUAUAGAGGUGCAAAUCUCAAGAGUAAGCUUCAUAAAGCGGAUGAUCGCUGAUGAUUGUAGCUGAAAGGGGAAUUUGCCGAAGUGGAUAAAAGUUCAUCAUUUUAUUCACUGGUGCUGUUAUUGAAUAAAUACAGUACUGUCAUAUAGUACAAAGUUGCUAUAUGGAGGGCUAUCUCACGC